RNAcentral lists this ribosomal RNA (478 nucleotides) under uncultured bacterium. Its description in RNAcentral is "bacterial SSU rRNA". It matches the Rfam family "Bacterial small subunit ribosomal RNA", at positions 28 to 510 of the family's 1533-position model. The record is from RNAcentral.
GAUGAACGCUAGCUACAGGCUUAACACAUGCAAGUCGCGGGGUAACAUCUGGGAGAGCUUGCUCUUCCAGGAUGACGACCGGCGCACGGGUGAGUAACGCGUAUCCAACCUGGCCCAUACCACGGGAUAGCCCGUCGAAAGGCGGAUUAAUACCGUAUGCUGUCAUUAAGAUGCAUAUAUUGAUGACGAAAGGACUGGCGGUAUGGGAUGGGGAUGCGUCUGAUUAGCUUGUUGGCGGGGUAACGGCCCACCAAGGCGACGAUGCGUAGCCGACCUGAGAGGGUGAUCGGCCACAUUGGGACUGAGACACGGCCCAGACUCCUACGGGAGGCAGCAGUAGGGAAUCUUCCACAAUGGACGCAAGUCUGAUGGAGCAACGCCGCGUGAGUGAAGAAGGUUUUCGGAUCGUAAAGCUCUGUUGUUGGUGAAGAAGGAAAUGACGUUACCUCAGAAGAAGCAACCGGCUAACCCCGUGCCA